Molecule: ribosomal RNA, 260 nt
Filed under: uncultured bacterium
Lineage: Bacteria
Description: partial 16S ribosomal RNA
Rfam family: Bacterial small subunit ribosomal RNA
Source: RNAcentral
UACGUAGGUGGCAAGCGUUGUCCGGAUUUAUUGGGUUUAAAGGGUGCGUAGGCGGCUUAAUAAGUCAGUGGUGAAAGCCGAUCGCUUAACGAUCGAACUGCCAUUGAUACUGCUAGGCUUGAGUAUAGUUGAGGUAGGCGGAAUUGACAGUGUAGCGGUGAAAUGCAUAGAUAUUGUCAAGAACACCAAAUUGCGAAAGGCAGCUUACUAAAAGUAUAACUGACGCUGAGGCAACGAAAAGUGCGGGGGAUCAAAACAGG